GCGCAAUAGUUCGGGGGAUAAGGCUAAAGAUCAAAAGGAGUAACGUUCCUCCGGCGAAUCGAAUACCAGUUGAGUAGCCUAGUGAAACGGUAAAGUCGAAAAUAGUUUUCCCAGGCAGUUUUAUUCCGAGGCAAACGUGACAUAUCGACAAGUUGCUCGCGUGGAGCCACCACAUACGCCACGCCUUCGAAAGAAUCCACUCGUUUUGCGUCGACUGAAGCCGUGAAAAAUUGUGUGUGGUUUUAUACCCAGCCUCGUCGUCAUCUAUAGACCGCGACGAGGGAAAUACCGAACCAACUUCCUUACCCCGAAGAAGAAAAACUUAGCGGCUUGUGUGUUACAGAGCCACGCGAAGCGAAGGCACGUCUAGCUGGUAACUCAUCGUCAUCCGGCCAAGGCAAAGACGUGACGAGUACUAAAAGGUUGUAAAGAAGAUCGGGCGGACCAACAUCGCCCACGACCAAUUUCCUUAAUAAAUGAUCCUAUUACGAGCCAGGAGGAAAAACUUCACGUUAAAGCGUCUUAUAUAUCAUUGCAACAUGAAAUUGGAUAUUUAUUGGUGACAGAUGGGACGUGGCAGUUCCGCGGAUCACGCGGCGCGAUCAAUCAUACCGUAAUACUAUACACUUUAGCGCAGUGCCGCGUAAUGAAUUGCAUCUGCAGUAAUAGCGGGUCAGUGGUGGCAGUACAGCCUUUGAAAAAUAACCGUAAUAUCAUUGUUCGUACGGGGACGAAGCUACAUGUGGGAUUCAGAACGCAACCGGCGAGACGCCACGCAGUUAUAGAGAUUUCUAUAUAUAUAGGGUGUCCGAGUAAACGCCAUAUGAUCAACAAAAUGACGAUUGUCUAUGAAAGGACAAGUCGAAGAUAUAAGCAAGAUUUUUUCGUAUGACACUUCGUCUUCGAGAUAAACGACCUAGAAAAUUUGUCAGUCUGGUGCGGCUGCUCUCUGCCUUCUAUUCUCGCGUUAUCUGCUGUCUCGUUUCACUGAGUUUACAUGCGACCGGUAAACUAAAUGCGCGCGGAGCCUCCAAGCGACAGACGCAACGUCGCCUGGGAAUAGAAACACAUGCAGCCCCGAUUUGAUAUGCCGACUGACACACAGGAUCACUGUUCGAAUCUCCACGGCAUAUGGCUUGAUACACGCGAUGCGAUGCGGGCCUUCGCCGCUGGCAUCUAUUUCCACGUGAUACCUACGAGAAGAGAGCCGUACCGGUACACACAGGGAGGCAAUGAGAGCCAGAGAUCGGAGCAAGAGUUAUCGGUUAAGCUCGUUAAAUUUAACUUUGACUUUUCGAGCCACGAGAGCCCGUGGGACGUAACGGUGCCUGCAAUGACGAACGGCCUUUGCUUUGAACACAAAUCACGUACGCCCAGGCCGAGCCUCCGCGAAGAAUUAAAUGAUUCUUCUCGAUCUUUUAUCGACUCGAAACCGACCGCCGCAAGAGCACACCAGGCUGCCAUCCGAUCAUCUUUCUUCCUGAUUCGAACCUCAUACAGUGUAUCCGUCUUUGAGUUAUCCGACCCGUGUUUUCAAUCAUAGUCCAAUCUUCUUACCGGGAUGUUUCAAGAAAGGAACAAUCGAGACGGGAAUUUUACAGUUUUCACGGUGUCAAGCUGAUGAUAAUCACUUGGUGGUCAAUCUUGGGGAAGAGGCGGCCGCAAGACAGCGGUACGGUACAGCGGUGCACAUGAGCUAACAGAGGCCGAAAGGAUGUCAUGACCUAACCUCGGCUGUCGGUGCGCGGGAGCGUCAUUAAUACGGUAGCAAUUUAUUACGCCGCUGUCUGACUGGUUGUCUGCUCCGACAGUGUCUUCGGGGCGUAGUCAUCGUCUGUGAACCUGAAUCUUGCGACAACACGUACGUACACAUACACUGGCACACUCGACAGGAGAUAACGGCCAAGAGACAAUGCAUCGACCACGUAAAAUUCUAUAGAUGAUGGAACGUUUCAAACGAGUUUCGAGAAAAAAUCGAGACGUGGAAGAAAUCGUUUAAAGUGAAAAUAUAUUGCUCUUAUUUUACAGCUUGAAAUGGACAGUUGACAUAUUUAUAUAGACGAAGGAGCAAGUAGUACGAAGUAAUAGAAAGCUAACAAAAAAGUGGAAGACGUGAUGGAACAUUUUAAACAUCGAUUUGGUCGUUUGUGGAGUAAUAAAGAUGAGAAAGUUCGACGUGGCAGAGAUGUUACGAAGGUGAUAGUCGAUUAUGUUGUUUAUGUAACGAUAUAGUGGCGUUGGAAAAAUAUGUAUAUCAAAGGAUGAGAGAUUUAUUCGUAUGAGCAUAGCGUAGGUUAUACAAUAAAUCGAGACAAAUAUUUUAAUAAAUAAGUGGUCAAACCUAACGUUUGUAGAAAGAACCUUGGAGUUCUAAUUCCGUGAGCCUAGUCUUCUAAGCGCUUAUCAAAAAGCACGUUUAAAGUUCAGUAAAUUACCAACACGUUUGGAAUCAUCGAACUGUUUUAAAAGAAGAAAUAACUAAUAAAGUAUUUAUACAGAUAAUCACAAA
Long non-coding RNA from Bombus pyrosoma, 2509 nucleotides. RefSeq lists it as uncharacterized. The record is from RefSeq and is a predicted model, not a curated record. Lineage: Eukaryota; Metazoa; Arthropoda; Insecta; Hymenoptera; Apidae. The transcript has 3 exons.